ACCAAGCACUGCCGCCUCCGCCUCCCCCUCACGCCGUCCCCGUCGCCUCGCGCCGCCGCCUCCACCCCCGCCGCCGCCUCCCCAUCGCGCUGCCACCUCCGCCUCCCGCCGUCCCCAUCGCCGGCCGAGCUGCCGCCGUCCGUCUCCCCUCCGCCCUCUCUUCCCCCACUCUCUCCUUCUCCCUUUCCCUCUCCCUCCGCCGUCUCCUCCCCCACCCUCGCCUCCGCCUUCCCCUCGCGCCAUUGCCUCCGCCUACGCAGCCGCUGUCGUCGCGUCACCGUCUCCAAGCGCCUCUGCUUCCGCAUCCCCCUCGCGUCGUCGCCAUCAUCGUCCCCGUCGCCCUGCGCCGCUGGCGCCAUUGCGUCGCCGUCUCCGCCUCCGGCCUCCGUCAACGACGAGGUCGGAGCGCCGACGGCUGCAUCACAGGCGGCGCGAAAAGCUGAGGGCCCAAUCCUGGCGGCGGGACUGCCGCGAGGUUCCGGACGCAUCAACUCGAGGGGGAGACGGCGGAGGGAGUGGGGGUUGAGGCGGGCGCGGUCUUCGUCCUCCCGGCGCCAGAUCUGCUUCUCAUCUCCACAAGGACACCCCAGCCCACCACUCAUCAGCGUCGCCAUGGUCGUCGGCGUCGCCCUCACUGUCGCCGUCGCCAACAGACUGCGUUAAGAAGCCACUCCACCACCAGCAGCAGCAGGGGCAUCCACCGUACGCCGCACCAAUGCCUUCCCCUUCCCUCCCAUCUGUGCCCUCUGGGUCACAGGUAGUCGCUUCAUCGGCAGCCGCGUUGCCGUCAAUGUACAAGGCCAAUGACCAGCAGCGAGCAACUCAUGGCACCAGAGACGGCGGUGGCGACGGUGACUACUAAACUCUUGGCACAGGAGCUUACAAAGGAUGUGCAGGUGAACUCUAGAAGAAAGUUCGAAAAAUGGGACAUUGCAAUCACAACAUUGGAACCUAAUAUCAACACUAUGCUCAUUGCCAUAGUGUCAAGUAAAGAAAGGGACUACAAUGCUUAUUCAAAGGAUUAUAUGUCUUCCAUAGUGAAGCAGUCUUGCACUAAUACUAGAAGCUGCUUUAGAGAUGGAGACAUCCCAUCAAAAAUCUGCAAUUACCCAAUGAUGUUGUGCCUGAGGAUCAUAUAAAUGACUCUGAUCAAUCCUCCACCUUAGCUGGUUGCUCUGCUUGCUGUGACCAUGCCACGACAUCCGAAAACACAGAGGACCAGUGUUGUGCUUGAGGAUCAUAUAAACGACUCUGAUCAAUCCUCCACCAUAGCUGGUUGUUCUGCUUGCUGUGACCAUGCCAUGACAUCUGAAAACACAGAGGACCAGGAGUCCAGGAGUUGGAGCCAUGCAAACAUGCAUCAUGCUAAUGUCGUCCUGAGCUUCCAGAUUAGGCCCUGCUGUAUUGAUCAAUAUAUUCAGCAUGAUGACAGCAUUAUUUCUAUACAUGGGGAUAUUGUGUAUCCGGAUAAGAAUAGCAUUAUUUGUAGGGUGGAGGCUAUAGAAAAAUAUUUCAGCCUUGAAACAGUCAAGGACAUUGUGGAAGCCAUGGUGAGUGAUGCUUCAGUUGUUUUAUACUUCCAAAUCUCUGGGCAUGGUAUGUGCUCCUUUUCAUUUAAACAUGAGUAA
This 1628-nucleotide long non-coding RNA is filed under the name Oryza sativa Indica Group (long-grained rice). RNAcentral describes it as "lncRNA OsLaMu_01g0017320". The record is from RNAcentral. Lineage: Eukaryota; Viridiplantae; Streptophyta; Magnoliopsida; Poales; Poaceae.